Molecule: unclassified non-coding RNA, 293 nt
Filed under: Hevea brasiliensis (rubber tree)
Lineage: Eukaryota; Viridiplantae; Streptophyta; Magnoliopsida; Malpighiales; Euphorbiaceae
Source: RNAcentral
UAUGCCUUCCGUAGUAGACCAGAUCAGUGAAUUUGACAUAGCAAUCGCUUUCGAGUUCGAUUUCGAAGCUACCGUCGUCGGAGAGAAUGUAGGACUUGACAUUGUUGGGUAAGAGACCGAUUGGAAAACCGUAAAGGGGAAGAAGAUCGUGGAUAUCAGUUGACUUGAGGGUGAUAUCCCUCGUUGAAAAGGAGAGAUGGGUUUGGGUGGAGAUGGCGAGAAUGAGAAGGAAUAGAGAGAACGGGGAGAGGAUUGUAGAGAAGGAAGCCAUUGAUGGAGAUUUCAGGUAGAAA